RNAcentral lists this ribosomal RNA (447 nucleotides) under uncultured organism. Its description in RNAcentral is "partial 16S ribosomal RNA". It matches the Rfam family "Bacterial small subunit ribosomal RNA", at positions 333 to 797 of the family's 1533-position model. The record is from RNAcentral.
ACACUCCUACGGGAGGCAGCAGUGGGGAAUAUUGGACAAUGGGCGCAAGCCUGAUCCAGCCAUGCCGCGUGAGUAAUGAAGGCCCUAGGGUUGUAAAGCUCUUUCACCGGUGAAGAUAAUGACGGUAACCGGAGAAGAAGCCCCGGCUAACUUCGUGCCAGCAGCCGCGGUAAUACGAAGGGGGCUAGCGUUGUUCGGAUUUACUGGGCGUAAAGCGCACGUAGGCGGACUAUUAAGUCAGGGGUGAAAUCCCGGGGCUCAACCCCGGAACUGCCUUUGAUACUGGUAGUCUUGAGUUCGAGAGAGGUGAGUGGAAUUCCGGGUGUAGAGGUGAAAUUCGUAGAUAUUCGGAGGAACACCAGUGGCGAAGGCGGCUCACUGGCUCGAUACUGACGCUGAGGUGCGAAAGCGUGGGGAGCAAACAGGAUUAGAAACCCUGGUAGUCCC